GUACUAAUUUGUGCCAAAGGUUAGCGCGUACGACUGUUAAUCGUGAGGUUGAGAGUUCGAUCCUCUCCCUGGACG
This is a non-coding RNA of Aspergillus ellipticus CBS 707.79, 75 nucleotides long. The record is from the annotation of a GenBank genome assembly. Lineage: Eukaryota; Fungi; Ascomycota; Eurotiomycetes; Eurotiales; Aspergillaceae.